RNAcentral lists this ribosomal RNA (468 nucleotides) under uncultured bacterium. RNAcentral describes it as "partial 16S ribosomal RNA". It matches the Rfam family "Bacterial small subunit ribosomal RNA", at positions 28 to 507 of the family's 1533-position model. The record is from RNAcentral.
GACGAACGCUGGCGGCGUGCUUAACACAUGCAAGUCGAACGGAAAGGCCCUGCUUUUGUGGGGUGCUCGUGUGGCGAAAGGGUGAGUAACACGUGUGUAACCUGCCCUUUACUUUGGGAUAACUUCAUGGAACCCGGGCUAAUAUCGGACAGGAGCUCCUGCUGCAUGGUGUGUGUUGGAAAGUUUGGGCGGUUGGGGAUGGACUGGCGGCUUAUCCGCUUGUUGGUGGGGUAGUGGCUUACCAAGGCCUUGACGGGUCGCCGGCCUGGGAGGGUGACCGGCCACAUUGGGACUGAGAUACGGCCCAGACUCCUACGGGAGGCAGCGGUGGGGAAUAUUGCACAGUGGGCGGGAGCCUGAUGCAGCAACGCCGCGUGCGGGAUGACGGCCUUCGGGUUGUAAACCGCUUUCGCCUGUGACGAAGCGUGAGUGACGGUAAUGAGUAAAGAAGCACCGGCUAACUACGUG